Molecule: transfer RNA, 65 nt
Filed under: Phalantus geniculatus
Lineage: Eukaryota; Metazoa; Arthropoda; Insecta; Hemiptera; Reduviidae
Description: tRNA-Pro
Source: RNAcentral
CAGUAAGUAGUUUAAUUAAAAUAUUAAUUUUGGGGAUUAAUGAUGAGUUUAUUGCUUUUUACUGA